Long non-coding RNA from Papaver somniferum (opium poppy), 560 nucleotides. RefSeq lists it as uncharacterized. Lineage: Eukaryota; Viridiplantae; Streptophyta; Magnoliopsida; Ranunculales; Papaveraceae. The record is from RefSeq and is a predicted model, not a curated record. The transcript is spliced from 2 exons.
GGUACUUGGUCUUUGUAGGAGAACACACAGAGAGAAACCGACGAGAGACUCAGGUGAGGAGAAGAAGGAAAAAAUUCAUUUACGAGCGUCAAUAAUUUCUACCCAAAAAUUCUAUGAACCUAAGCGAUUGAAUCUGGUGUUUUUGGCACGCUGAAGUUGUCGACCUAUAGGAAAUUGAAGAGUGAAAGAAAUGGAUUCUUAUGUUUCUUACUGAUUGAAGGUUGACGUGGCAGGUAACUGUGAUGUAAGUGGUGUCGGCUUGGGCGAAGGAGAGAUUAACAUUUGGGUCGAGUAAGGUGUUCUGGUUUGUGUAUAGGGAGGUAACUGCCGAUAACUUUUUGGUGGGCAGUCCUGUGUUGUUAGUCCUUGUGGAUAGUUUGUUUUAGCUUGCAAGUAUGGCUAGUGUGUAUAAGUACCUAUCAUAAAACACGUUGUUUGUAAUUACCUAGAAAUAUUUUGAUUAUGCAGUUUAGUCUGCAGUCUCUUUUGAGUACCUCUUGUAAUGUUUGUACAUUUUGAAACUAUAUCUAAUAUAACGAGUUAGGUGUUAAUUUCAAACA